GGCGGUUCUCAGGUGACGCACCCCAGAAUCAGGCUCCCUCCUCUCUGGUUCCAGGUGUGUCACUCAGAACCGCU
This is a non-coding RNA of Myotis davidii, 74 nucleotides long. Lineage: Eukaryota; Metazoa; Chordata; Mammalia; Chiroptera; Vespertilionidae. The record is from Rfam.